Molecule: ribosomal RNA, 460 nt
Filed under: uncultured bacterium
Lineage: Bacteria
Description: partial 16S ribosomal RNA
Rfam family: Bacterial small subunit ribosomal RNA
Source: RNAcentral
CCUACGGGUGGCAGCAGUGAGGAAUAUUGGUCAAUGGCCGGAAGGCUGAACCAGCCAUGCCGCGUGAAGGUCAGUGCCCUAUGGGCGUUAAACUUCUUUUGUUCGGGGGCAAUAAUGGUCACGGUUGGCCAGACUAGAGUACCCUUCGAAUAAGCAUCGGCUAACUCCGUUCCAGCCGCCGCGGUAAUACGGGGGAUGCAAGCGUUUUCCGGAUUUUUUGGGUUUAAAGGGUGCGUAGGCUGGGAGGUUAGUUAUCGGUGAAAAGCCCCGGCUCAACGGGGUGAAGUGCCAUUGAUACUGCCGUGCUGGAAUGUGGAUGCGGUAGGCGGAAUGUGUGGUGUAGCGGUGAAAUGCAUAGAUAUCACACAGAACACCGAUUGCGAAGGCAUCUCACGAAUCCGCGAUUGACGCUGAUGCACGAAAGCGUGGGUAUCAAACAGGAUUAGAUACCCCAGUAGUC